This 1200-nucleotide long non-coding RNA is filed under the name Homo sapiens (human). Its description in RNAcentral is "HSALNT0260332". The record is from RNAcentral. Lineage: Eukaryota; Metazoa; Chordata; Mammalia; Primates; Hominidae.
GAUACCUCAUUCUUUGCCACAGCUGCCCAGUAUCCAUGAUGUGGAUCAUGGCUCAUGACCCAGUUCUCUAUGGAUAAACAUCAGGGUCGUUCCCGGUCUGUGGCCAUCGCCAACACUGCCGUGACUAGUCUAGAAUGGGUGCCAUUUCAUGCAUUUGCAAUUCCCAGAAGUACACUGGUUAGUCAGCAGGUGAGUGCAUUGGUGAGAGGAUGUGACUGCAGUCUCAGGAAAUAUGGAAACCUUCUUCCCUUUCUAGCUGCAGCACCCCCAGUCUGGACAGCAUAUGGAAAGCACUGAGGGGAAGCCCCACUAAGCACAGAACCCUGCUGGCCACCCAAGACCUCAAUACAGAUGGACAACAUGAAGCCCCUGGCUUAGGGGAAAACAGAGAGACUGAGAAACACACAGAGAGAGUUGGGGCAGGGAUGGAGAGAGAGAGAAAAUGAUAAAGACCCAGAGAGAGACAGAGUCAGAGAAAUACAGGGGUGGAGAGGGGAGAUACAGAGAGAGACAGAGAGCAAAGGGGACAGAGACAUUAACACAGAGAGAAGGAGGGAGAGGAGAGGCAUGGAGAGAGGGAGAACUCAAAGAGCCAGAGCCAGAGAAGUAGAAGGUGAGCCAUAGAGAGAUUCAGGGCAGGACUAGGGUGAGACAAGAGAGGACCCAGGCUUGUGGAUUCUUGAUUAAAAAUCAAUGGUGUUAUAAUCCAGAAAAGAGAGAGUGAGGGGAGAGAGAAAGGGCCUAGGACUAAAAAUUAAGGGGUCACUUGCGCAACCCCGGAUUUGGGUGUCUCCUUAGAUUUUGCAGCAGAGACACCUCACUUACCUCACCCUCAUCCUUGUCCUGAGACCCCCACAGGGACACAGAGACACAAGGAAAACACAUAGAACCAAAAGAGCACCCAAGAGGAGGAGGAGGGACAUGGAGACACCACGAUAGUCAAGCUGAUGGGGCCACACAAAAUCAGAACAGAGACAAAGAGGGAGGCACAGAGAGACACAGAGGGAAAGAGACCCAGAAAAAGAGAUGGACAGAGCUGGAGAGAUACAGAGUGAGAGACAGACAGUGUGCAGGAGGAAGGACACUCAUAAAUACACAGAAACAGAAAGAAGAGGCUGGAGUGGUGGCUCACACCUGUAAUCCCAGCAUUUUGGGAGGCUGAGACGGGUGGAUCAUUUGAGAUUAGGAGUUUGAGACCAG